RNAcentral lists this ribosomal RNA (465 nucleotides) under uncultured bacterium. RNAcentral describes it as "partial 16S ribosomal RNA". It matches the Rfam family "Bacterial small subunit ribosomal RNA", at positions 28 to 507 of the family's 1533-position model. The record is from RNAcentral.
GACGAACGCUGGCGGCGUGCUUAACACAUGCAAGUCGUACGGUAAGGCCCUUUCGGGGGUACACGAGUGGCGAACGGGUGAGUAACACGUGAGUAACCUGCCCACAACUUUGGGAUAACGCUAGGAAACUGGUGCUAAUACUGGAUAUGUGCUCCUGCUGCAUGGUGGGGGUUGGAAAGCUCCGGCGGUUGCGGAUGGACUCGCGGCCUAUCAGCUUGUUGGUGGGGUAGUGGCCUACCAAGGCGGCGACGGGUAGCCGGCCUGAGAGGGUGACCGGCCACAUUGGGACUGAGAUACGGCCCAGACUCCUACGGGAGGCAGCAGUGGGGAAUAUUGCACAAUGGGCGCAAGCCUGAUGCAGCAACGCCGCGUGCGGGAUGACGGCCUUCGGGUUGUAAACCGCUUUCAGCAGGGACGAAGCUUUUUGUGACGGUACCUGCAGAAGAAGCACCGGCUAACUACGUG